GAAACGCGAUAGUUAAUGUGAAUUGCAGAAUUCAGUGAAUCAUCGAGUCUUUGAACGCACAUUGCGCCCAUAGGUAUUCCUUUGGGCAUGUCUGUUUGAGCGUCAUUACAACCCUCAGCUAACCGCUGGUUUUGAACCUGAACGGGUGACACCGCGCCGGUUUUAAAGUUGUAAGCUCUGCUGGCUGCUCUGCCCAACCAGAACAUAGUAAGCACUACUUGUCCGGGUGAAGCUGAACGGUACGGCCUGAACAAAACCUACCCACUCUCAAGGUUUGACCUCAGAUCAGACAAGGAUACCCGCUGAACUUAAGC
RNAcentral lists this unclassified non-coding RNA (314 nucleotides) under plant metagenome. Its description in RNAcentral is "partial contains 5.8S ribosomal RNA, internal transcribed spacer 2, and large subunit ribosomal RNA". The stretch from base 1 to 105 matches the Rfam family "5.8S ribosomal RNA", at positions 50 to 154 of the family's 154-position model. The record is from RNAcentral.